GACGAACGCUGGCGGCGUGCCUAAUACAUGCAAGUCGUACGCACAGAAGCUGGAAACUUGUUUCCAGUGGACGUGAGUGGCGCACGGGUGAGUAACACGUGGGAAACCUACCCUUCAGCGGGGGAUAACCGUCGGAAACGAUGACUAAUACCGCAUAGGUCUUUGAGUCACCUGACUUAAAGAGGAAAGACGGCUUCGGCUGUCACUGAAGGAUGGUCCUGCGGUGCAUUAGCUAGUUGGUAAGGUAACGGCUUACCAAGGCGGUGAUGCAUAGCCGACCUGAGAGGGUGAUCGGCCACACUGGAACUGAGACACGGUCCAG
This 322-nucleotide ribosomal RNA is filed under the name uncultured bacterium. RNAcentral's name for it is "bacterial SSU rRNA". It matches the Rfam family "Bacterial small subunit ribosomal RNA", at positions 28 to 334 of the family's 1533-position model. The record is from RNAcentral.